GCAUGAGCAGUCAGCAACUCAGCAGAGUCAAGCUGUCUUUGUCUUCGAUCAAGCAUGCGCUUUUAUACGAAAAGUUUGUGAAUUAAUUUAAAUACAAUGUUAUUUCAUUUUCUUAAAACAGUGAUAUGUUAAAUACAAUGCAUUAAGCUAAAAUCACGAUAUCUUUGACACAAAAAGGUUAUAAAAACUGCAACACAGUAACUUGCAAAGAUUCGCAAUGUCUACACGAAGAGCUAGAAUAAAAGCCGUGGCCUCACUGCCGGUGAGGAGGAAAAAUGCGGAUAGCCAAGUUAAAGAUGAAAAGCCUAUUAAAAGUCCAAAAACACCACGACCACAGGUUUUGCAAGAUGAGUCUACGAAAAUAAAAACUCCCGUGAAUAAAAUUGCAUCGCCUCUGCAACUGUCGCAAGAACAAUCUAAAACAGAGACUCCAAAACCUGCAGAGGCUAUCCUAUCACCGCCUCCUAGAAGCCUACCAACUCCAGAUGUUGUUAAAACUCCAAUACGCAGUGAAAAAGUGCCUGUUAUCACAUCAAUAUCGCGGCAGAGUUCAAACACAUUUGCGUCACCAUUGCGAUGGAACAGUCCUGCUAGGAAGGCAGUUGCUUCACCAGUCAGGAACUCUCCCCAGCACAGAACACCUUCAGUAAUUACUGAGGUCAUAUGUGAGAGACUUGAUUCUCCGAAUAGUGUUCAAAGCAAUCCAGAUGCUAGGGAAAAACAAAAGAAUGUUCCUAAUUUGGUGGAGAGAGUGGUUCAAAAGAAUGUUAUACAGAAGAUUGAAACUACAGAAGAUUACAACCCACCUAGCAUUCCAGAGAGCAUUACAGAUGAAACAGGCAUGGAUGGUAUCAUUCCCUUACAACCGACGCGCAGCGCUCCCAAGCCUCUAGACUUGCUGAAGAAUGAGAUCAUAUCAGAGAACGCUCAAGUGCUGUUUGACCCUAUUGUUCCUUUGCCAUCUCCGAGCAAAGUGCGUCCGAAGCUUAGACCUGCACCCAGACUUGCACCACAUAGGAGGAAUAGCAUACAAGGAAGUGCGAGUGAGUCGGAGGAUGAGAGUCGGCGAGCGCUGCUCAACAGCGGCGCGCCGACGCCGGUGCCGACACGACAACGACACGACUCCCACACGUCGCAUAGCACUCUGCAUUCCUUACCUAAUAGAGAGGUCAGCCGCAUUCGGAACGACUCUGUGUGUUCAGGUGUGAGCCAACUCACCGCGCCGCCGCCGGCGUCACCGCUUAAGGAGCGACAUGUCACUAAAUGUCGACGACAAGAGAUGUCGCGCCGCAUCGCCGCGAUGCGCAGGCGGCGGGACCCGGUGAAGCGAGACGCGCUCACCAUGUACGACCUCAUCUUCUACAACCCCACUACCAACCCCAUUGUCCCAGACCAAGACGAGCUGAAAGCCAAAGAAGCUAAUCAGAAGGACGAAGAAGAGAGGAAGAAAGUGCCCGUGGAAGAAGAAGCGGAUGACCCGGACGACCCGCCGGCUGACGCCGCGCCGGUGCCGCAGAUCAAACUGGGACCUAACGGAGAAAUCAUGUUGGACGAACAGAGCUUGGUUAUAAAACAAACCGACAGCAACCGCAAGCUAUCAUCCUCAAUCGUCCGCGAAGGCGCCUGGGGCGGCGGCGGCGGCCGCUACUCACGCACGGCGCGAACGGCAGACUGGAGCGAAGCCGAGACAGUGCGGUUUUACCGAGCGCUGGCUGCCGUGGGCACGGACUUUACACUCAUGGCACCGCUGUUCCCCGAUCGGAAUAGGAGAGAUUUGAAGAUUAAAUUUAAAAAAGAAGAAAGACUGAACGGCGCGCAAGUGGACAAAGCGCUGCGCUCUCAAAUAGCCUGGGACGCCGUGGGCCUCGAAGAUGUGUUCUCUCGCGAGCGCGAGGACGCCGCACGUCGCGCUGAGGCCGAAAGGGAACAACUACAGGCGGCGAAGAAAGCCUAUAAGGAACGCGCCAAGGCCUUGCAACAGUUGCGCGUCAGGAACAGUCGAGGAGCAAAAGCUCUAGAAACAGCCCCCGAGCCCGCUCCCCGCGAGCUGAUCACAGCCAACGACUUCAUCCAGCAUGCGCUCGCCAACAAACCGCGCAGGAAACGCAGGACGCCCGACCCUAUCGCAACUCCCAACCAGGACAGCCCACAGAAAAACACACCCAAAAUGCCCCCUCUCACCAACAUGGCCAGAAUAGACCCCCCGACACAAGUACCACCAAACAUAGAAGCUGGCUCAUUAGUUGUCUUAACUGUCAACGAUCCAAAAUCACCCACUAAGAAAAUGCUACAGACUUAUAUCUCACGCGGUGCCGGUCAGUUGACCCCGGUAGCUUUACCACCAAACUUACUCACUUCAGUCAUGGGAUAUGUGAAGAAAGGUACUCCUAGAAGCAACGUGUCUUCGCCGUUAUUGUCUCCUGCGAGUGUUGCCAGUGCGGAUAGUAGAACCAGUGCUAGUAACAUGACUAGUGUUAUACAAGUGAAUCCGAGCCCUAAUAAGAGACAGAGACACAGUUCUUAUACUAUAACGCAGCUUUAGUGUUUGUUGUUGCACGAGAUUGUGAUCAUGUUUUAACUUAUUAAUAUUUUAAGUUCGUUGGGUCAUGUAAUUUGAUUCGGCAUGCCAAUGCCCUUUUACUUUUUUUUAUUCAUCCUAGCUAAACAAUGAACGAGUGCCUUACGUGAUAAAAAAUAUAUAACAGCUUGUUACAGCCAGCGGCAAACAGUCGUAGUGUUAAUCGGGCACUAGUGUGAUAUUAAUGAUAAAGCCAACAUCGAACAUUUUGUAAGUGUGAAACGGACGCACCCACGCGAUAAACUACAUCAAACUAGUAUGGUAGGCCCAUUCAUCAUUCUGAACACUUCGUCCGCUAAUCGCUACUGCUGCUUUACAUGCACAUUUUGUUGUUUUUACUUAAUGUUAAAACUGGCUCGUCCAGUUGUUUAUUAGGGGUUGAAGUUUCAAUGUGAAUGAAACUCAUAAGACAAGAUGUAAAUAUUAUAUAAAUGCAAGUUUGGCAAUUCAUAAUGGAAACUGUUAAAAGUGCUAGUAGUGUUAACUAGGUAUUAUAAAUAUGUAUAAAACUUUUAGCUGUUAUUUUAACUUUUUUAAGUACAUAAAUUAUUGAUAA
Molecule: RNA transcript, 3134 nt
Organism: Leguminivora glycinivorella
Lineage: Eukaryota; Metazoa; Arthropoda; Insecta; Lepidoptera; Tortricidae
Gene: Bdp1
Gene name: transcription factor TFIIIB component B''
Exons: 10
Source: RefSeq, a predicted model, not a curated record